AAAAUAAUACUCCAUGCAUUGCGGGUGGGCUUCCCCUCCGCAGGCCCCAGCCCAAGGCAGCUGGGCCUAGCUGCCCUGGUGCUGUGGGGAGGGGGGUGGGAUGGGUAAGGGGAGGGGGAUGAGGUGGGGGUGUGGGGGAGGGGGCUGUGGUGGGGCAUGGGGAGGGGGGUGCGGUGGGGGUUGGGGGAGGGCGAGUGGGAGCUGCAGGAUGGCAGGAGAGGUGAGGCUGGAGUUGGGGUAGGUCCUGAAGUCCAGAGGGAGCCCGGCUCUAGCCGCCACUCCUGCCCCACCCCAGGCCUGCACCCCAAGGGGCUCCUGCACCCACAUGUGGACUUGCCACCCACGCAUGCCACCUCUGUCCAGGCCCCAGCAAAGAGGCCAGCCCUUGGCUCUUUCCUGGGCCUGGGAGACCUGGCAGGGAAGAGGCUGUGCGGGCAGGAAACCCUGGGGUCCCCGGGGUGCAGUGUUUCCUCACCCCGAGGGCAGGGAUGCGGCCAGGUGGCCAGCACAGAACCCCUGGCAGCAGCCAAGCCUAGGGGAGGGACUGGAGGGCGG
Molecule: non-coding RNA, 555 nt
Filed under: Pan troglodytes (chimpanzee)
Lineage: Eukaryota; Metazoa; Chordata; Mammalia; Primates; Hominidae
Source: RNAcentral